UGGGGAAUAUUGCACAAUGGGCGCAAGCCUGAUGCAGCCAUGCCGCGUGUGUGAAGAAGGCCUUCGGGUUGUAAAGCACUUUCAGCGGGGAGGAAGGCGUUAAGGUUAAUAACCUUGUCGAUUGACGUUACCCGCAGAAGAAGCACCGGCUAACUCCGUGCCAGCAGCCGCGGUAAUACGGAGGGUGCAAGCGUUAAUCGGAAUUACUGGGCGUAAAGCGCACGCAGGCGGUCUGUCAAGUCGGAUGUGAAAUCCCCGGGCUUAACCUGGGAACUGCAUUCGAAACUGGCAGGCUAGAGUCUUGUAGAGGGGGGUAGAAUUCCAGGUGUAGCGGUGAAAUGCGUAGAGAUCUGGAGGAAUACCGGUGGCGAAGGCGGCCCCCUGGACGAAGACUGACGCUCAGGUGCGAAAGCGUGGGGAGCAAACAGG
RNAcentral lists this ribosomal RNA (429 nucleotides) under Chloroflexota bacterium. RNAcentral describes it as "Chloroflexi bacterium partial 16S ribosomal RNA". It matches the Rfam family "Bacterial small subunit ribosomal RNA", at positions 355 to 776 of the family's 1533-position model. The record is from RNAcentral. Lineage: Bacteria; Bacillati; Chloroflexota.